Penaeus monodon (black tiger shrimp) is the source of this 326-nucleotide long non-coding RNA. RefSeq lists it as uncharacterized. The record is from RefSeq and is a predicted model, not a curated record. The transcript is spliced from 2 exons. NCBI's taxonomy places the organism in Eukaryota, Metazoa, Arthropoda, Malacostraca, Decapoda, Penaeidae.
CAGCGUGGGUGCGGACUGAUAAGACGUACGGUCGACUAUCACGUGUGGGUGGCAACAGGUGUUAUUUGGUGAAAUGCAGUUAAAGACACAUUUAAGUAUGGAUAGCUAACAACAGUCACGAUUGUUCUGAGACAGGAGUUGGCUGCGUAUGAUUUACACGUGACAAAAUGCGAAGAAAAUUUGUGCUUAUAGGUUACAGAUAAAAAAGAGGGGACCCAUUUCUUCCUUCUGCCUUUGUCUCUGCCACCAGACCUCGACCCCUCUUUCCUCCCCUCUUUUUUCCCGUCCCCUCUUAAAAGUAGAAAUAAACGGUAGAUAAACGUGCC